UUUGUUGCUUAGGAAAGGGGAUAGGGCGUUGUGUAAAGACUGUAAAGUCAUCCCGAGUGAGAAUCUUUCGACCCAACAUAGGCUCUUGGUUAUGGAUUUGGGUAUAAAGAAGAAUAGAAAGAGGAGGAGUGAGGAGUGUAGACCGAGAAUUAAGUGGGGCGGUUUGACGCCAGUGAAUGCGUGGGAGAUAGGGGAGAGGUUGGCGGGAAUGGGGGUGUGGGAGUGUAGGGGGGAUGUGGAUAAUAUGUGGGACAGGGCGGCAACGUGCAUCAGGGAGAAUGCCAACAUAGGCUCUUGGUUAUGGAUUUGGGUAUGAAGAAGAAUAAAAAGAGGAGGAGUAAGGAGUGUAGACCGAGAAUUAAGUGGGGCGGUUUGACGCCAGUGAAUGCGUGGGAGAUAGGGGAGAGGUUGGCGGGAAUGGGGGUGUGGGAGUGUAGGGGGG
Molecule: long non-coding RNA, 442 nt
Filed under: Capsicum annuum
Lineage: Eukaryota; Viridiplantae; Streptophyta; Magnoliopsida; Solanales; Solanaceae
Description: long non-coding RNA (CANN_LNC012988)
Source: RNAcentral